GAGUUUGAUCCUGGCUCAGAUUGAACGCUGGCGGCAUGCCUUACACAUGCAAGUCGAGCGGCAGCGCGGGGGCAACCCUGGCGGCGAGCGGCGAACGGGUGAGUAAUGCAUCGGAACGUGUCCUCUUGUGGGGGAUAACCAGUCGAAAGACUGGCUAAUACCGCAUGAGCACGAGAGUGGAAAGCGGGGGACCGUAAGGCCUCGCGCGAGAGGAGCGGCCGAUGCCGGAUUAGCUAGUUGGUGGGGUAAAAGCCUACCAAGGCGACGAUCCGUAGCUGGUCUGAGAGGACGACCAGCCACACUGGGACUGAGACACGGCCCAGACUCCUACGGGAGGCAGCAGUGGGGAAUUUUGGACAAUGGGGGCAACCCUGAUCCAGCCAUGCCGCGUGUGUGAAGAAGGCCUCGGUUGUAA
Molecule: ribosomal RNA, 415 nt
Filed under: uncultured beta proteobacterium
Lineage: Bacteria; Pseudomonadati; Pseudomonadota; Betaproteobacteria
Description: bacterial SSU rRNA
Rfam family: Bacterial small subunit ribosomal RNA
Source: RNAcentral